AUUGAAUAUAAAUCCAAACCAAAGACCGUAGGAGAUUCAUAAGAAUCCUAACAAGUCCUACCGAGGUUGGAGUAAGCAUACGCUGACCUCAACUGUGAUAACAGAACCUCCGGACUUCUUUGGGUACGGAGGUAUUUUUAUGAAAAG
This is a regulatory RNA element of Fusobacterium sp., 147 nucleotides long. It matches the Rfam family "Ribosomal protein L10 leader". From Rfam's summary of the family: This family is a putative r-protein leader autoregulatory structure found in B. subtilis and other low-GC Gram-positive bacteria. It is located in the 5' untranslated regions of mRNAs encoding ribosomal proteins L10 and L12 (rplJ-rplL). The record is from Rfam. Lineage: Bacteria; Fusobacteriati; Fusobacteriota; Fusobacteriia; Fusobacteriales; Fusobacteriaceae.